GGGUCAAUGGUUUAGUGGUAGAAUUCGCCCUUCGGGACUAUGGGCGAGAUCCGGGGUUCGAUUCCCCGUUGACCCC
This is a non-coding RNA of Talaromyces islandicus, 76 nucleotides long. The record is from the annotation of a GenBank genome assembly. NCBI's taxonomy places the organism in Eukaryota, Fungi, Ascomycota, Eurotiomycetes, Eurotiales, Trichocomaceae.